UCGGAGAUGACAAUGAUGAAUUCAUUGAUCAAUAAUAGUAUCUUGCUGGAUGCUAGUUGGCAUCCGUCAAAUGGCACAUGUUUGCUGUUAUUGCCUUUCGGUAUGUUCAGGCUUAGCUUGGUGUUGACAUGUUCCCUUCAUCGAUUGCAAGCAUCCUUACGUCAAACUUUUGCUCUCGAUUCCAUCGAUGGUCUGUAGUCCUAGUGAAACAAUCCGUAUAAUUAGCAAUGAAAUUUCUAUAUCUUCGAGUUGCGUCGGCUGGAUUAGUCGGCUUCUGCUCCAUAUCUUGGAAUUCUCUGAUGGACUUCUGCUCAUUGAAGAAGUUGAUUGCCUGGGCACAGGUGUCUCGGAAUUGUUUCCGCUAGCCAUAGCAGGAUAUCUGACUAGGAGAUAGCGUACAUCAAGAUGAACGCCUGCUAAUUCUAGAUCUCAGCCUGAUGUUUUGAAUGUGGGCAUCUUCCAGACUUGUACGUUCUUCGGGGUGGCAGCACGGUUCAAUAGCAAUGUGCCAAAUUAUAACACUCCAGUCGAAAUCCAGAUCAAGAAUCCAUUUAAGUGUACCCAACGUUUUAGCCCAAUCGAGUAUGCAACCGCCUCUAAAGGUGCGUAUAGCUUGGAGGCAUGGUCAGUCGUUUUAUAUCGUCUGUCAUUUCCUCGUGGCUCCCAUACAGAUGUUUCUCCACCUUGUGUUUGAUGUGUAGGAGUUCCCGGAGUUGGACCAUCUCUGCCUUCUCGACAGUGUUUGUAUCCAAUUGAUGAAAUUCAAGGUGUGAGACAUUUCAUUCUUCGUCAGCCAACAAGCAAGUCCCAUUAGAGAAAAAGAGAACCAGCAAUGCGUAUAAUUCUAAAAAGU
This 853-nucleotide long non-coding RNA is filed under the name Eucalyptus grandis. RNAcentral's name for it is "long non-coding RNA (EGRA_LNC006140)". The record is from RNAcentral. Lineage: Eukaryota; Viridiplantae; Streptophyta; Magnoliopsida; Myrtales; Myrtaceae.